CCGGUAGCUAAAUGCGGAAGAGAUAAGUGCUGAAAGCAUCUAAGCACGAAACUUGCCCCGAGAUGAGUUCUCCCUGACUCCUUGAGAGUCCUGAAGGAACGUUGAAGACGACGACGUUGAUAGGCCGGGUGUGUAAGCGCAGCGAUGCGUUGAGCUAACCGGUACUAAUGAACCGUGAGGCUUAACCUUACAACGCCGAAGCUGUU
RNAcentral lists this ribosomal RNA (206 nucleotides) under Escherichia coli. Its description in RNAcentral is "partial 23S ribosomal RNA". It matches the Rfam family "Bacterial large subunit ribosomal RNA", at positions 2742 to 2925 of the family's 2925-position model. The record is from RNAcentral. Lineage: Bacteria; Pseudomonadati; Pseudomonadota; Gammaproteobacteria; Enterobacterales; Enterobacteriaceae.